UACGUAGGUGGCAAGCGUUGUCCGGAUUUACUGGGUGUAAAGGGCGUGUAGCCGGGCUGACAAGUCAGAUGUGAAAUCCGGGGGCUCAACCCCCGAACUGCAUUUGAAACUGUUGGUCUUGAGUACAGUAGAGGUGGGCGGAAUUCGUGGUGUAGCGGUGAAAUGCUUAGAUAUCACGAAGAACUCCGAUUGCGAAGGCAGCUCACUGGACUGCAACUGACACUGAGGCUCGAAAGUGUGGGUAUCAAACAGG
RNAcentral lists this ribosomal RNA (253 nucleotides) under uncultured Eubacteriales bacterium. RNAcentral describes it as "uncultured Clostridiales bacterium partial 16S ribosomal RNA". It matches the Rfam family "Bacterial small subunit ribosomal RNA", at positions 524 to 776 of the family's 1533-position model. Lineage: Bacteria; Bacillati; Bacillota; Clostridia; Eubacteriales. The record is from RNAcentral.